CCUACGGGAGGCAGCAGUGAGGAAUAUUGGUCAAUGGGCGCAAGCCUGAACCAGCCAAGUAGCGUGAAGGAUGACUGCCCUACGGGUUGUAAACUUCUUUUAUAAAGGAAUAAAGUGAGGCACGUGUGCCUUUUUGUAUGUACUUUAUGAAUAAGGAUCGGCUAACUCCGUGCCAGCAGCCGCGGUAAUACGGAGGAUCCGAGCGUUAUCCGGAUUUAUUGGGUUUAACGGGUGCGUAGGCGGAUUGUCAAGUCAGCGGUAAAAUUUCGGGGCUCAACCCCGUCGUGCCGUUGAAACUGACGGCCUUGAGUGAGUGAGAGGUAGGCGGAAUGCGUGGUGUAGCGGUGAAAUGCAUAGAUAUCACGCAGAACGCCGAUUGCGAAGGCAGCGUACCGGCGCUCAACUGACGCGGAGGCACGAAAGUGCGGGUAUCGAACAGGAUUAGAUACACGAGUAGUC
Molecule: ribosomal RNA, 459 nt
Filed under: uncultured bacterium
Lineage: Bacteria
Description: partial 16S ribosomal RNA
Rfam family: Bacterial small subunit ribosomal RNA
Source: RNAcentral